This 72-nucleotide transfer RNA is filed under the name Ornithorhynchus anatinus (platypus). It matches the Rfam family "tRNA". From Rfam's summary of the family: Transfer RNA (tRNA) molecules are approximately 80 nucleotides in length. Lineage: Eukaryota; Metazoa; Chordata; Mammalia; Monotremata; Ornithorhynchidae. The record is from Rfam by way of RNAcentral.
UGCAGUGUGGCUCAGUGGAAAGAGCAUGGGCUUGGGAGUCAGAGGUCAUGGGUUCUAAUCCCAGCUCUGCCA